AGCAGCCGCGGUAAUUCCAGCUCCAAUAGCGUAUAUUAAAGUUGUUGCAGUUAAAAAGCUCGUAGUUGAAUUUCGGGAUUUAUCCGUCGGUCGGGCUUUUGGGUCUGUACUGGCGUGAUGGAUUCCUACCUUCUGAAUAACCGGCAUGUCAUUAAUUUGGCGCGCUGGGGAAGCAGGACUGUUACCUUGAAAAAUUAGAGUGCUUAAAGCAGGCUAUUGCCUGAAUACAUUAGCAUGGAAUAAUGAAAUAGGACGGCAUGGUUCUAUUUUGUUGGUUUCUAGGAUCACCGUAAUGAUUAAUAGGGAUAGUUGGGGGCAUUAGUAUUCAAUUGUCAGAGGUGAAAUUCUUGGAUUUAUUGAAGACUAACUUCUGCGAAAGCAUUUGCCAAGGAUGUUUUCAUUAAUCAAGAACGAAAGUUAGGGGAUCGAAGACGAUCAGAUACCGUCGUA
RNAcentral lists this ribosomal RNA (450 nucleotides) under uncultured Acaulospora. RNAcentral describes it as "SSU rRNA". It matches the Rfam family "Eukaryotic small subunit ribosomal RNA", at positions 569 to 1022 of the family's 1831-position model. Lineage: Eukaryota; Fungi; Glomeromycota; Glomeromycetes; Diversisporales; Acaulosporaceae. The record is from RNAcentral.